This is a long non-coding RNA of Colossoma macropomum (tambaqui), 1633 nucleotides long. RefSeq lists it as uncharacterized. The record is from RefSeq and is a predicted model, not a curated record. NCBI's taxonomy places the organism in Eukaryota, Metazoa, Chordata, Actinopteri, Characiformes, Serrasalmidae. The transcript is spliced from 3 exons.
AGCCUCGAUACGUGCAACACAGCAACGGCUACAGAAAGAAAGGUUCCGGCGCUAGUGGGUGGGAACCCGCACAUACGUGCACUCGUUUCCUGCUGCAGGGGGUUUACUCUGAAAUUGGGAAUGAUGAAGUGAUGACCCUUCCACUGUUAAUGUGAAGAGGGUGAAGCUGGACUCCCAGGCUGUGCCUACUGCUGGAGUCCCUGAUGACACAGUUGGCUGAAGGCCUGUCUGCAUUGGAGCAGAAGGAUGGUGAGUCUGUUCUGCAGUGUGCCACCCAAUGGGCUUCUGGGGUGUAAUGUAGGGCUGUCACAAUACCAGUUUCGGCUUUAAUACUGAUACCAAGUGUCGUACCACAGUACUUCAUAAUAUGGCAAAAAAUAAAACAUAAUAAAACCCCGGUGUUUACUGGACUGAUCAUUAUUCAAAUUAUUAUAGUGUAACAGAGGACAGAAUACAACUUCAAACUACUGUUAGCCUAUUUAAAGGGCCUAUAUUCUACAUUUUCAUUUCAUUUUCCCCCCUGAGAUGCAUAUAUAUGACCAUUUUCCACCCUCUCUUUACCCCAUUGAAUUAAACAGGGUGAUAUCAGGUUUAAAGGCAUUUGUUACUAUGCCUUUAAACCUGAUAUUUAAUUAUCCUCUAUUCUGAUUGUGCCUCAUUAAAAAGCAGUCCAGGAUGAAACACUCCUUAUAACCUCAGCAUGAAUGGGCAGGGCUAAACUGCUCUAGGCUGAAUAGGCAGAUGUAUAUAGGCCAGAUUUUUCCAGACUUUGCCAGUGCUGCUUGAGUAUUUGCUGUUAUGUGUAGUAAAAGUAUAAAAAGGAAAUGUAUGCAGAUUUUAUCUGAAUCACAUGUUGCAUUUCUAGACAUUUUCCCUCUGUAGUCUAGGUAUGGCCUUUGAGCCAUAACAUCCCUCUCUCAACUAAAAUAACAUAUCAUGCUCCCUCAACAAGUGAUUAAAAUUGUCACAAAUGAUUGACAGCUGGCUUUAGCCUACCAUUUAAUCUGGAAUUUAAAUCCUAGCCAGUCAGUGAAGAGACAGCCUGCAUUACAUAAUCUGAGAUAAUCUGAGAUUAGAGAUUUCUCCAUGUAAACAAAGCUUGAGCUUUUUAUUUUAGAUUAUGUACUAAGAGGUGAUCCCACCACAUACGUUGUAUCCAUAGUUCUCUCCACUGCCAACAUUGCACUGCACUCUAUUGGUGAAAAACAAGCACUGCACUCUGGUAACAAAAAAGACAUUUGAAUCUGAGCCAGUCCUGAAUCAUCUUCACUGGUUGUUAUUUUCACCUCAUUGAGCCCGUAAGCUUUAACAGCAACAACAUAAAAUGUUAUUGGCUACAUAAAGUUGAUUAGUCUUGGCCACCCGCUGCUUCUCCAAGGCUUUUAUUUUCUUUUACUGGGUGAUAUCUCACUUGACCCUUGGAAUUACUUGCUUUUCAAAGAAAAAAGUUUCUUAUUGAUACUUUAUAAUGAAGCUGUGAUAGGACGAGAAAAGAAGAUUCAGGACAUCAGGGUCGGAUGUGUAUCUGUAAUGUCAACAAAAGCAGGCAAGUAUGCAGUUUUAGGAUAAAUAUUGCAAAUAUUUAGAGAUCACCAGGUUCUUGUAUCUAACAACCUGUAUGUCGAUUUGAUGU